GAGCUCUUCUGCCCAGCAGAGCCCCUGGCAUUGACCUGCAUAGAUGAUGGACUUCCUCCCUCCAGAGGAAGACUUGUGUUGAGCCCGCUGACCCCAGGCCAGUGGCCAUCAGCCAGGUGCCUAACCCCCAGUGAGCUGAAACUUGGAUUCUCCUGGCUCCUGGUCUCCUGCAUUGAGCUUGUGAGCACUUCGGCCCAGCAGAGCCCCUGGCAUUAACCAGCACAGAUGGUGAGACCAAGGAAAUCUUUCACUGGGCCCACUGGUCUUGGACGACUGGUCGUCAGCCAGGUGCCCAGCCCUUGGUGCGCUGAAGCUCAGGCCCUUCCCAGCGUCCUGGUGUCCAGCACUGAGCUGUGGUGAGCACAUCUGGGUCCCACUGGAUGUAUCCAUGGGGAGGGGGGUGUCCUAGGUUGGGUCAAUGAUGAGAACCUUAUAUUGUCCUGAAGAGAGGUGAUGACUUAAAAAUCAUGCUCAAUAGGAUUACGCUGAGGCCCAGCCUAGGUGAGAA
Cebus imitator (Panamanian white-faced capuchin) is the source of this 508-nucleotide long non-coding RNA. RefSeq lists it as uncharacterized. The record is from RefSeq and is a predicted model, not a curated record. The transcript has 4 exons. Lineage: Eukaryota; Metazoa; Chordata; Mammalia; Primates; Cebidae.